RNAcentral lists this long non-coding RNA (3875 nucleotides) under Equus caballus (horse). RNAcentral's name for it is "lncRNA (ENSECAG00000053882.1)". The record is from RNAcentral. Lineage: Eukaryota; Metazoa; Chordata; Mammalia; Perissodactyla; Equidae.
GCAAGCAGAAACCACAAGACUGCUUCUCAGAGACACUGCAGAAGGGAUUCAUAUUUUGGCUAUAAGAAAAUCUUGAAAGAAAUAUAUUACCUACGUCUUUCAAACACUAGAGGAUUGCAUCAUUAAUUCUGCCCAAAGAUCCGCUACCCAGCAGCAGUAGAGAAAAAUUGAAUUCCUUUGGCAAGGGUGAAGAAGCCAUUCUGAAAUGCCUACAGCAGCCUACAAGGUCAAGCCGCAGUGCUGAUGAAUAUUGGUUAGAGUACUGAUUGAUGCUUCACACCUGGAUUUCUUCAAUGCCACCUCAAUGUGACUGUAGAACCCCAUAAUAGCCAAAGCCAAUACUAGGAGUUGACCCGUGAAAGGAAAGUCCCCAUGAAAACUGCUGUCCUCCUCUCUUCAGAUGGGGACAGUUUUUCUUUGAUUGAAACGAAAUUCUGACCUCAGUUCCCCUGAGUAGCAUUUGUGUCACUUAACUAUUGAUUCGGCAUGGAUUAUUAAUAUUCUUUAAAAAUUGUUUAAUAGUUUCUUGAAAUUCCUUAAUUGAAAUCUCUAUAUUCUUUCAAAACUUUGAUGAAGUUAUACUCUUGACAAUAGCAAAUUGUGAUUGUACUUUAACAACUUUCUCCCCUUGUUCAUGAAGCAAAAUCAUGGUGCAAUUAUUUCUUUUUUCCUACAAGGAAAACCCAUCAACAUUAUAAUUUAAAUUAAUAGUUUAUUGGCUCUUAUCUACAAUGUAUGUAUCAGAUUUUAAGUGACAAUGUACAAUUUCCCUGAAUAAAAUAUAUAAGAGGUAUUGCCUGAGAUUGAGAACUCACACUCUGAAUCUGAUAAUGUGCUUGUUACCACAGUUUGCCCCCCAGAUGAGCUCUCCACCCGUGUCCACCCUGCUCUGUGCCCCAGGAAGCUGACCAUACAGACCACAUCAGUGAAUUUCAGGGUCCUCUGUCUUCCAGUUGGGCUCACUAGUGGGGAAUUCCAGCAGGAGAGAAGAAGGAGAGAGCAGAGUGAAACUGGGGUGUAUAUUCCCCUGCCUCCUUUCCCACAGGCUCUUUCCAGGCUGACUUUGACUCUCUGAUGAAAGCCACAGAAGGUGGCUUCUCUGCACAACUCUCCCCUUCCAGAUUCUGGUUAUAACUGCCUUUCCUUUUCCCUUCAGGAGCAAGUGGGGGUAACAACUCUGCAGUCACUAUCUGAAAAUGCCCUGCUGUUGUUUUUGUUUUUUCUACCCAAUGCCCUGGUCUUAGUGAAUAGUAUCUUUCUCAAACCAUCCUGGAAUUAUCCUAGUUUGAGUGAACCUUUAUUUUUUCUUUUGCUGGAGCCUGAUCUUGUCAGAUACUUGGGUGGAAAUAUGUCAGAUACUUAAUGGAAAUGUAUAAUUCUAUUUCGAAGAACCUGCUUUUGGAUUUAUUUAGCCUUUUAAUCAUUUUUGUUUCUAUUUCAUUAAGUUCAGGUCUUACAUUAAUUAAUUUCCCUCUUCCAAAUUUCUUUUGGCUUAUUUUGUUGCUCAUUUUCAAAUUCAUUAAGGCACUUCAUGGUGAUCGUCUCUUACCCUGCUCUCUUCAUCAGACACGGCUGCAAAUGAGAAGUCUUCCUUAUGUUCACUUGGCUGAGAAACUGUGGGAAGAUAGAGAGCAAAGAGACUUCUUCCAGGAACUGCUGAAGGGUGCAUACAUCCUGCCUGUAGUCCAUAGGCUAUUGGAUCAGAACAUUACAGCAGGAUUCCCACCAGUCCCACCAAUAUUUUGACAGCUGACCUGAGCUCCAGUGCUGGCAGGGAAAAAUAACUGCCCAUCCUUGGAGCCUCACAGCCUAAAAGAAAAGGAUGAGCCCAACAAUUUGAAGACACACUGUGAGAUAGAACUGCUGCAUAAGACAGAUGAUCACCUGAAUAAAAAUUCAUCGUGAAUGCUUAAGGAGAUUCAAACACAAUACCAACAAUACAAAAAAAGACUUUCUUGAGAUUAAAAUUAUUAUUUUCAAACUAAGACAAAUCAGUAGAUAAUAAAUAAAGGGGAGUUUGACCACUGGAUGACCAGAUCAGUAGCCAGAAAUAUCUUAAAGCACAAGAAUGGAAGAAGUAGAAGUCCUGUGGGAAAAGGUGAAAGAGUCACAGAAGAUCUAGCAAGCAAAUACUGGAAGAAAAAAAUGGAAGAGACACAUGAAAAAGUAAUAUCCCAGGGCUGAAAGAAGAUCUGAAUCUACACGCUGAGAUCCAAUCAGUCUUCAUGAAAAAGAUGCACAUCUAGGCAUAUCCUGAUGGAUAAGAAAAAUAUCUUAAAUGCUCCUAGAUAGGAAGAGCAAGUUUACCCAUCAAUGGACAUUUCACUUUCAACCUGUGAAUAGAAAGUUAAAGUGCCGUCAAUGCUGAGAACAAACAGGGUCCCAUCCCAGAUAAUCCUUAAAGUUGUUCCUCCCGUGGUGGUUAGACAAUAUAUUCAACAGAAGGACACCCACUCUGCAGCACAACUGUCCUGUUUCCUCAACAAGUCAGUGUCCCGAGGAAAAGGGCCUGUGCUAGAGGAAGACACUUAAAGGGGCGUAACUACCAGAUGCAAAAUGUGGCUGUGACUCAAAUGCUGUUUUGUACAAACCAGCAGCAAAGGUCAUUCUGGAAUCAACUGCAGAAAUUUAAAUAAGGUUUGGGUAUCUCAUGAGAUGAAAAUUUACUGAAAUAGUAAAAUGGAGAUGGCUCAUUGGAAAAAGCAGGCUACGAAACAACAAAUCACACAAAUACACACACAUAUACACUAUUUAAAAUAAGUAUGUAUACACACACAUAACAAAAAAUAGGUAUACAUACACAUAAAAGAUAAAUAUAUGAAAAACUGUAUAUAUAUAACAUAUAUAUAAUCUGCAAGAACAUGCCUUAGAGUUUAAAAUGGUGAUGCAUUGUGUCAAUAUGAUAUUUUUCAUUUUAUUUUCUAAUUUUCAAUAAUUAAAAAUACGGCCACCAUAAAAUGUAUACCUAUUUAUGUGUGUGUGUGUGUAUAUAUACAUGAAAAUUUCCUUCUCCUUCUUCUUCCGUAUAUAUAGAAAAAGGGAAGGAAGAAGAGGAGGAAGAUGAGCAGUGAUAGAAGGGGUGAGGAUGGGAGGAGGAGAGGAGGGGAGAAAAAGGAGGAGUAGGAAGGGCAAUCCUGAAAGGAACUUCCAAGAGGAAGCAGGGUGGAGCUUCAAGAACGAAGGACGACAAUGCUGCAGCAUCGUUGUGGUGUGUCUGGCACAGCACAGGUUCAGAUGCAGAAUGUGGGAGAGUCUUGCCUGUUGUGAAUUAUCGCAAAAUACCACGGGAGGAAAAUGUCACCCUAAACCAGUUGUGUUUAGCUUCCACACAUCAAAAUAUGGCAUAACAGGUUUCAGAAAGAACUAGGUUCAAUUCUGAAAAAGAAUACCAAAACCUGGAUUAGUUAUGGAUGGCUCCAAAUUAUAGUGCCUGUUUAUGCACAUGCUAGUGAAAUAACGAGUUUUAUGACAGCUGCCUCUCUUAUAAAAAUAUUAAAAUUACAAAAACAGGACUUUGUUUUGUGAUAUCCACGUUCUCAGUAGUUUUAAAUGUCGUUAAUUUAGAUUUCACAAUUUUGAACUAUGUAAAAGUGUAAUCUGGCAAAAAAUAUUUACGUAAAAUUGUUCAUGAAAAAGAGACUUCUGGACAAAUUCAUCUUGAAAAUAAAAUUGCAUGAAGCAUGUUUACUUCUCAUAAAUUGCAUACUCUUUUACUAAAGAACUUAUAGUAUUCUGUAUAAAUUGAAGAUGCUGAAUUCAAUUACACCUUAGUUUAUGUCAUCAGCAGCUCAUCAAGCUCUUUGGUGUUUUUUUCCUGACUUUUCCUGACUGAGCCAAGGUGACAAAAUAGGUUUAGUUCUGCAACUAAUCCUCCC